This 133-nucleotide ribosomal RNA is filed under the name uncultured bacterium. Its description in RNAcentral is "partial 16S ribosomal RNA". The record is from RNAcentral.
GUAGUUAGCCGGGACUUAUUCCUGUGGUACCGUCCGUCCUCGUCCCACAGAAAAGCGGUUUACGACCCGAAAGCCUUCAUCCCGCACGCGGUGUCGCUGCGUCAGGGUUUCCCCCAUUGCGCAAGAUUCCUUA